AGUGAACGCUGGCGGUAGGCCUAACACAUGCAAGUCGAACGGCAGCACAGUAAGAGCUUGCUCUUACGGGUGGCGAGUGGCGGACGGGUGAGGAAUACAUCGUAAUCUACUUUUUCGUGGGGGAUAACGUAGGGAAACUUACGCUAAUACCGCAUACGACCUACGGGUGAAAGCAGGGGAUCUUCGGACCUUGCGCGAUUGAAUGAGCCGAUGUCGUAUUAGCUAGUUGGCGGGGUAAAGGCCCACCAAGGCGACGAUCCGUAGCUGGUCUGAGAGGAUGAUCAGACACACUGGAACUGAGACACCGUCCAGACUCCUACGGGAGGCAGCAGUGGGGAAUAUUGGACAAUGGGCGAAAGCCUGAUCCCGCCAUACCGCGUGGGUGAAGAAGGCCUUCGGGUUGUAAAGCCCUUUUGUUGGGAAAGAAAAGCAGCAGGUUAAUACCCCGCUGUUCUGACGGUACCCAAAGAAUAAGCACCGGCUAACUUCGU
This 491-nucleotide ribosomal RNA is filed under the name uncultured bacterium. RNAcentral describes it as "partial 16S ribosomal RNA". It matches the Rfam family "Bacterial small subunit ribosomal RNA", at positions 29 to 506 of the family's 1533-position model. The record is from RNAcentral.